CCUCCUUUCUCGCAUUCCUGGCGCGGCGGCUGCUCGGCGGAUUGCAAAGAGGCAGGUGGAGGAGCUCACCAAGUAGCCCGCCGGAGUCAAAGGCAUUCGAGGAUAGGGACAAGCCGGCGGCGCAGCUAGUGACUGGAGCGGCGGCGCGAGCUCUGUCUCCGGGGAGAAGCCGAUGGGCGACGUCAGCGAGCUCGUCUCCAUGCGUUAACCCCUCUGUGCGUUGCGGGGUGGGGAGGCAACUCCGUGAGCUCGUCUUCGUGCGGCUACCGGGGGUUUGCCCCUCAGCUCGCCGCAAACUCUAUUUCCGGGGAGAAGCGGCGUCGGCGACUCCGUGAGGGCGGCCGCCGGCGCAAGCCCAGGUCGAUUUUCGGCGGCUUCGCUCAAGGCCAACGAUUGGGCGCGUGUGGUGGCAGUUCGAGGAGUGGCGACAUCUUCUGGUGGAUUGCUGUGUGUGCUUUGGUCUGAAAGUUUGUGAUUGGAAGGAGUGGCAACAUCUUCAGGUGGAAGGAGUGGCAGUUCAAGGACAUCUUCAGCAGUGGUCUGAAUUGAUUCAGGAAAUACUUUGGCAUGGUACAGUUUGACCAGCCACAGGACCAAAUCAGUUAACCUACUCCCUUUAGUCUGCAUCAAGGUACAGA
Triticum dicoccoides is the source of this 638-nucleotide long non-coding RNA. RefSeq lists it as uncharacterized. The transcript is spliced from 4 exons. Lineage: Eukaryota; Viridiplantae; Streptophyta; Magnoliopsida; Poales; Poaceae. The record is from RefSeq and is a predicted model, not a curated record.